GAGCUUGUCCACACCAGGGCUGCUGUCCACACUCAAAUCCUUGCGCAGGGACAGAAUAUGAGCAGCCAGCCCCUCCCUCAAAGCGAACGGUACAGAGCCACUCCCCCCUCUGUUCAAUUAGUCAGCCUCUCCCUCCACUUACUGCGCAGCAACCAGCCAGCUAGCUCUAGAUGGUGUCUAGACCAGCUCUCUCUUCAGCUAUGCCAGGCUAGUCACAAGGCAAGCAAAGAAGCUGAACUAGUGCUAGUGAGCAAGGCUCAGCCUGAGCCCUAGCCCUCUCCCAGAGUGUCUCUAAAGCAGCUCCUUCUGCAAGCACACAGCAGAAUUUUUGAUGAACUAGUCUACAGACUACACCCUCUGUCUCUAUGUUUUCAUUUAUGUUAUGACAUUUUGUUUCUCAUGCAAGACAUUUUCAUUCAUCGAAAACACCAUUAACUGCAUAUGUUUGAGGUGCCAAUUUAUGAGCCAUAAAUAUUAUUUUCCCUUGUA
Halichondria panicea is the source of this 489-nucleotide long non-coding RNA. RefSeq lists it as uncharacterized. NCBI's taxonomy places the organism in Eukaryota, Metazoa, Porifera, Demospongiae, Suberitida, Halichondriidae. The record is from RefSeq and is a predicted model, not a curated record. The transcript has 2 exons.